This 253-nucleotide ribosomal RNA is filed under the name uncultured bacterium. RNAcentral's name for it is "partial 16S ribosomal RNA". It matches the Rfam family "Bacterial small subunit ribosomal RNA", at positions 524 to 776 of the family's 1533-position model. The record is from RNAcentral.
UACGUAGGGCGCGAGCGUUGUCCGGAAUUAUUGGGCGUAAAGAGCUCGUAGGUGGCUUGUUGCGUCUGCCGUGAAAGCCCGUGGCUUAACUACGGGUCUGCGGUGGAUACGGGCAGGCUAGAGGCUGGUAGGGGCAAGCGGAAUUCCUGGUGUAGCGGUGAAAUGCGCAGAUAUCAGGAGGAACACCGGUGGCGAAGGCGGCUUGCUGGGCCAGUUCUGACGCUGAGGAGCGAAAGCGUGGGGAGCGAUCCGG